RNAcentral lists this ribosomal RNA (253 nucleotides) under uncultured bacterium. RNAcentral describes it as "partial 16S ribosomal RNA". It matches the Rfam family "Bacterial small subunit ribosomal RNA", at positions 524 to 776 of the family's 1533-position model. The record is from RNAcentral.
UACGUAGGGUGCGAGCGUUGUUCGGAAUUACUGGGCGUAAAGGGUUUGUAGGUGGCUUGUUAAGUCAGACGUGAAAUCCCUCAGCUUAACUGGGGAACUGCGUCUGAUACUGGCGAGCUUGAGUGCAGGAGAGGAACGCGGAAUUCCAGGUGUAGCGGUGAAAUGCGUAGAUAUCUGGAGGAACAUCAGUGGCGAAGGCGGCUUUCUGGUCUGCUCUUGACGCUGAGGCGCGAAAGCUAGGGUAGCAAACGGG